This 548-nucleotide ribosomal RNA is filed under the name uncultured fungus. Its description in RNAcentral is "eukaryotic LSU rRNA". It matches the Rfam family "Eukaryotic large subunit ribosomal RNA", at positions 71 to 647 of the family's 3401-position model. The record is from RNAcentral. Lineage: Eukaryota; Fungi.
GGGAUUGCCUCAGUAACGGCGAGUGAAGCGGCAACAGCUCAAAUUUGAAAUCUGGCCUUUGGUCCGAAUUGUAAUUUGUAGAGGAUGCUUUUGAUGCGGUACUUUCCGAGUUCCCUGGAACGGGACGCCUUAGAGGGUGAGAGCCCCGUACGGUUGGAUACCAAAUCUUUGUAUAGCUCCUUCGACGAGUCGAGUAGUUUGGGAAUGCUGCUCUAAAUGGGAGGUAAAUUUCUUCUAAAGCUAAAUACCGGCCAGAGACCGAUAGCGCACAAGUAGAGUGAUCGAAAGAUGAAAAGCACUUUGAAAAGAGGGUUAAAUAGCACGUGAAAUUGUUGAAAGGGAAGCGUUUAUGACCAGACUUUUUCCAAGUGGAUCAUCCGGUGUUCUCACCGGUGCACUUCGCUUGGUUUAGGCCAGCAUCGGUUUCCGUAGAGGGAUAAAAGCUUUAGGAAUGUGGCUCUUCGGAGUGUUAUAGCCUAUUGUAUAAUACCUUUAUGGGGACCGAGGUACGCGCAUUGCAAGGAUGCUGGCGUAAUGGUCAUCAACGA